This 499-nucleotide ribosomal RNA is filed under the name uncultured Glomeromycotina. RNAcentral describes it as "partial small subunit ribosomal RNA". It matches the Rfam family "Eukaryotic small subunit ribosomal RNA", at positions 591 to 1092 of the family's 1831-position model. The record is from RNAcentral. Lineage: Eukaryota; Fungi; Glomeromycota.
CCAAUAGCGUAUAUUAAAGUUGUUGCAGUUAAAAAGCUCGUAGUUGAAUUUCGGGAUUAGUACGCUGGUCGUGCCUUCGGUAUGCACUGGUGUCACUGAUUCCUCCCUUCUGAAGAACCGUAAUGCCAUUCAGUUGGUGUGGCGGGGAAUCAGGAUUGUUACUUUGAAAAAAUUAGAGUGUUUAAAGCAGGCUCGCGCUUGAAUACAUUAGCAUGGAAUAAUGAAAUAGGACGUUUGAUCCUAUUUUGUUGGUUUCUAGGAUCGACGUAAUGAUUAAUAGGGAUAGUUGGGGGCAUUAGUAUUCAAUUGUCAGAGGUGAAAUUCUUGGAUUUAUUGAAGACUAACUACUGCGAAAGCAUUUGCCAAGGAUGUUUUCCUUAAUCAAGAACGAAAGUUAGGGGAUCGAAGACGAUCAGAUACCGUCGUAGUCUUAACCAUAAACUAUGCCGACUAGGGAUCGGAUGAUGUUAAUUUUUAAUGACUCAUUCGGCGCCUUACG